RNAcentral lists this ribosomal RNA (466 nucleotides) under uncultured bacterium. RNAcentral describes it as "partial 16S ribosomal RNA". It matches the Rfam family "Bacterial small subunit ribosomal RNA", at positions 28 to 507 of the family's 1533-position model. The record is from RNAcentral.
GAUGAACGCUGGCGGCGUGCUUAACACAUGCAAGUCGAACGAUGAAGCCCAGCUUGCUGGGUGGAUUAGUGGCGAACGGGUGAGUAACACGUGAGUAACCUGCCCUUGACUCUGGGAUAAGCCUGGGAAACUGGGUCUAAUACUGGAUAUGACUUCUCAUCGCAUGGUGGGGGGUGGAAAGAUUUAUUGGUCUUGGAUGGACUCGCGGCCUAUCAGCUUGUUGGUGAGGUAAUGGCUCACCAAGGCGACGACGGGUAGCCGGCCUGAGAGGGUGACCGGCAACACUGGGACUGAGACACGGCCCAGACUCCUACGGGAGGCAGCAGUGGGGAAUAUUGCACAAUGGGCGCAAGCCUGAUGCAGCGACGCCGCGUGAGGGAUGACGGCCUUCGGGUUGUAAACCUCUUUCAGUAGGGAAGAAGCGAGAGUGACGGUACCUGCAGAAGAAGCGCCGGCUAACUACGUG